This 277-nucleotide ribosomal RNA is filed under the name uncultured Acholeplasma sp. Its description in RNAcentral is "partial 16S ribosomal RNA". It matches the Rfam family "Bacterial small subunit ribosomal RNA", at positions 1105 to 1382 of the family's 1533-position model. Lineage: Bacteria; Bacillati; Mycoplasmatota; Mollicutes; Acholeplasmatales; Acholeplasmataceae. The record is from RNAcentral.
UACUUGCUAGUUACCAUCAUUAAGUUUGGGGACUCUAGCGAGACUGCCAGUGAUAAACUGGAGGAAGGUGGGGAUGACGUCAAAUCAUCAUGCCCCUUAUGACCUGGGCUACAAACGUGAUACAAUGGCUGGAACAAAGGGAUGCGAAGCAGUGAUGUGGAGCGAAACCCAUAAAAACAGUCUCAGUUCGGAUUGAAGUCUGCAACUCGACUUCAUGAAGUCGGAAUCGCUAGUAAUCGCGGAUCAGAACGCCGCGGUGAAUACGUUCUCGGGGUUU